AAGGGUAUAGCUCAGUGGUAGAGUGCACACCUAGCAUGCAUGAGGUCCUGGGUUCAACUCCCAGUACCUCCA
This 72-nucleotide transfer RNA is filed under the name Camelus bactrianus (Bactrian camel). It matches the Rfam family "tRNA". Rfam says of the family: Transfer RNA (tRNA) molecules are approximately 80 nucleotides in length. Lineage: Eukaryota; Metazoa; Chordata; Mammalia; Artiodactyla; Camelidae. RNAcentral also lists the same sequence under 1 other name. The record is from Rfam by way of RNAcentral.